UACGGGGGGAGCAAGCGUUGUUCGGAUUUACUGGGCGUAAAGGGCGCGUAGGCGGCCACCGCAAGUCAAUUGUGAAAUCUCCGGGCUUAACUCGGAAAGGUCAACUGAUACUGCGGGGCUAGAGUGCGGAAGGGGCAACUGGAAUUCCCGGUGUAGCGGUGAAAUGCGCAGAUAUCGGGAGGAACACCGGUGGCGAAGGCGGUUCUCUGGGCCUUACCUGACGCUGAGGAGCGAAAGCGUGGGGAGCGAACAGG
Molecule: ribosomal RNA, 254 nt
Filed under: uncultured bacterium
Lineage: Bacteria
Description: partial 16S ribosomal RNA
Rfam family: Bacterial small subunit ribosomal RNA
Source: RNAcentral